GACUUGUUCAACUUUGACUCGUUCUAAAAUUUGAUAGUGUUCCUGGUACAUGUAUGGUUGUUAUGUGUUCAGCAAAUGUUUGUUGAAUUAAACAACAGAUUUCUAUGUAUCUUCACCCGCUUUGACAUAGGAUAUUUCAUGGGAUAAAAAUUUCAUCAUCCAUCUCAGAACCCUGCAAAGUAUCAUGAAAUAGACCCACUAUAGUUAAGUAUCAACGAAAAUAUCAUAUUACUGUCUUUUUGUUCAUACUGACUGGAGAACUUAUCGUGUGUGAUUUCCCAUAAUGUGUUUCAUCUAUGUGUUUCCAUGCUGUGGAUUAUUUUUUAUCACAUUCAUAAGAAAACCAAGGACCUUUUUAAAAAAAUGGUUUAGUUAAACGUGGUGGUAAAAUAAUUUUGACAGUACAGAUAUUGCAUUAAUUAUUUACAUGUGAGGGUAUGUUUGAAAGGCCACAUGCUGUCCCUAACUCUUCUAACCCUUUGAAAGGAUUUACUUUGAUAGAAAAAAUUGGACAUCAAGGAAUUAUUCAUAUACAUUUGCUGUGGUUUUCAUUUAAGACAGGAAGGGGUUUUUCAAGGUUUUCCACGCUUUUAUUUGAUUUAAUUUCAUGCUCACUAGAGCCCAUUUCCAUCACAGUCACCGACACCUUGAACUUGCUGUGAUUUUCCUCUGUUAAGCAGCCCAGAUGAUACUCAGUAAGAUUCUUGGACUCUAAGCCCCAUGUCUUGGAAACAGACCUCACUGAAUUAGUGAAGAUUCCAGGGCAUUCUUCUUGCUGAGCUGGUUAAGCCUUUGAAAAUAUACUAUGGCCACUAGGAUUUGCAGGCUUAGUGGACCUACCAUAAAAGGUUUCAGAGACCUUGGAUGGCUCCGGUGCCUGGAGUGCAGUGGUUACACCCCAUUAGCCCCAGAGCAGGGGCUGUCUUCCCCACGGUCCCCUGUGGUCAACAUCUUCCCAUUCUGGCAGCGGGGCCUCAGGAAGGCAGCCCAGAGUCACUGAGGUGCUUCCCAGGAGAGUACAGAGAGACGCACACCCACCCUGUGCUCCCUUCCACAGGGAUUUUGUCUUUAUUUCUCCUUUGUCUGCUCACCGAAGAGUUUAGGUGGAUUCUCUGAAUGGCAGAGGUGAUGUUUGCUGGAGUAGACAGUGAACGGUAGAGUAGAAAGUGAACAGGAGGGAAUUGCAGCUUUGCAUUUACUAGCGGGGUGCAUCUGAAAGGUACUUGUUACCCGGGUCCCCGUUUCACCAUCUGUAAUGGUGGGUAAGGAUCCCUACCUCAGAGGGCUGCUGGAUGGAUGAAAUGAUCUGAAACAAAAUGAAAUAAAGAUAAAGGAAGUGGACCCACCUCGCCAAGGUCCGGCAUGUGGUAGGUACUUAACAAAUCUUGCUACCUCAGGCUAUAGCUGGUCGAGGUUAUCGUGCACUUCAUACACACUGGACUGGUUUUGACCCUAGCAUCUGCUGUAGGUCUGUGUUCAAAACACCUCCUCCUUCAAAUGGGCACUUAGCCUGCCUUCGAGGUGUGCCUAAGACCAGCAGGGACCAGCCUUGGCCACCGGCCCAGGGAGGAGGGCUCUAUGAUUUCUGGUCAUCAAGAUUCUGUGCGGUCGGUUGCAGCCUGAGAUGAAUAUCAUGGUCUUGUUGCUUACUUUACAUCAUGCGGCUCUGCCCACAUCCUCCCCACUAAAUGAGUAAGGCAGGAAAACUUUAAAGCUGCAGAAUGAUUAAAAAAAAAAAUAAUCUGGGGUCUAAUAAUUCCCUUGCAGGUUGUGUAAGCAGGAAGGUUUAAAAUCACACAAGAAGGAUUUAAGGGAAAAGGCACACUCAUUUCUAUUCCCAGCAAACAUAAGCAGCUAGCGCAUCUGGUUUUCUUAAACGAUCUUUACUUACAGAAGGAUCCAUCACCCAGAGAGAGUAUCUGUGUCCAGAAUCUGCCCAGCGGGAAAGUGACUCAGAGCAGCUCUGGGGUUCAGAGAGCUGAGAGGCCGGCUUUUGAUGUGCCUUUAGCAUAUCGCUGGGCGCCACCCAGGAAUCCAAAAGCCACGCAUGGGCAGACCGGGGCUGCUGUGAAAGCUCCUCCCUGGGACACUCCCUGGCUCCCUUGGGGGGAUCCAAGAUGGCAACGUGCAAGAUGGCCACCGGUAUUACAGCUGACUAUCGCCAGCAAGGAGAGAUAUAUCCCAACACCUAGAACAGUACCUGGUAUCUACUAGAUACUCCAUAAAUAUUCUUUGAAUAUAAGAUUGAAUGAAAAGAUGGAGUCGAACCCAGUUCUGAUGACAUCAUUUGAGUGCUGGACCUAUUGUGUCUGAAGCAAGACCAAUUCUAGACUUCUCAGCGCUGAUUUCCUUCAUGGAAACAUGAGAGCAGGGAAAUGGCAGCUAACAAUUACUGAAAUACUCUAUGUCAAGGGUACACGGCAAGCAUCACUGCUCAUUCUCACAAAGACCCUGUAAGGUGAAGACAUUCUGUAUGCAUGGUACCAAAGAAGAAAGUAUACUCUGUGAAAGGUGGAAUUUUGGGAUGCGUGAUUGUAGCCAUUGUUUACUGAGCAUCUACUGUGUGCCAGUCCUCCAGAUGUGCCAUGACAAAAAUAACAUUCAAGUUUUUCUGGGUUUCUUCUGGAAAACCAGCUUGAGAGUAAAGAUGGCAGCUGAACACUUCUGUGAACUCAAAGGCCAAGAGAUUGACAAUGAGUGAAAUGGAUCAUGAGCCACAUUUGGUGCACCAACCAGAUCGACUCAGGCACAAAGAGAAGGUGUGGGUUUGGUGGAGUGAUGAGAGGUUCUACCCUUUCAAUUGGUUUGCCAGUCUUGGUCUGAAUUCCUCACUAAUCUCUGAAUAACAGA
This is a long non-coding RNA of Callorhinus ursinus (northern fur seal), 2850 nucleotides long. RefSeq lists it as uncharacterized. The record is from RefSeq and is a predicted model, not a curated record. Lineage: Eukaryota; Metazoa; Chordata; Mammalia; Carnivora; Otariidae.